AGUGAGCGCUGGCGGUAGGCCUAACACAUGCAAGUCGAACGGCAGCACAGUAAGAGCUUGCUCUUACGGGUGGCGAGUGGCGGACGGGUGAGGAAUACAUCGGAAUCUACUUUUUCGUGGGGGAUAACGUAGGGAAACUUACGCUAAUACCGCAUACGACCUACGGGUGAAAGCAGGGGAUCUUCGGACCUUGCGCGAUUGAAUGAGCCGAUGUCGGAUUAGCUAGUUGGCGGGGUAAAGGCCCACCAAGCCGACGAUCCGUAGCUGGUCUGAGAGGAUGAUCAGCCACACUGGAACUGAGACACGGUCCAGACUCCUACGGGAGGCAGCAGUGGGGAAUAUUGGACAAUGGGCGCAAGCCUGAUCCAGCCAUACCGCGUGGGUGAAGAAGGCCUUCGGGUUGUAAAGCCCUUUUGUUGGGAAAGAAAAGCAGCAGGUUAAUACCCCGCUGUUCUGACGGUACCCAAAGAAUAAGCACCGGCUAACUUCGUG
Molecule: ribosomal RNA, 492 nt
Filed under: uncultured bacterium
Lineage: Bacteria
Description: partial 16S ribosomal RNA
Rfam family: Bacterial small subunit ribosomal RNA
Source: RNAcentral